CACAGGAGCCAGCCGCGGCACCUGCCGGGGUGUUGUAUCACAGUGCCUUCAGUUUGUUACCGGCUGGGCAAUAUUUUCAAUUCUUUUUAAACGUUGAUUCAUUUCUGAGAGACAGAGAAAGAGAGCAAGCAGGGGUGGGGCAGACAGAGAGGGAGACACAGAACCUGAAACAGGCUCUAGGCUCCGGAGCUGUCAGCACAGAGAUGAUGACCUGAGCCUAAGUCGGAUGCUUAACCCACUGAGCCACCCAGGCACCGGUGGGCAAUUUCUGAAUGCCGCUCUUUGUCCUUCCACCUGGAUGAGUUUCUUCCUCCGCAGAUCAAAAAAGGCCCCUUCAAGCUUAUUCGUUUGUUCAGCAAAUACUAUUAUGUAUCUGGAACUCUAUUGUGGGCUGGAUUUACGAAGAUGAACGUGGCAGGUAUCUAUGAAAGUCUGGCCCCUGCUUGCUGAAUUCUUCCAAAAGCACUGGAUUUUUGUCAAUAGGAUUGGAUGUUGGUGGAGUUGUGAGAUGUCUCAGCUCUGGAGAUUAUGUUAUUACUGUCAUUCUUCCUCCCAGGUACCAUAUUUAGAAUUUUUAGACCUAUUUAUAAACCACUGACUCCUUGUUUACACUGGCUGGUGCCUACCGCAGAAGAAAUAUUUGUUGACUGACUUUCUUAGUCCAUUCAUUAAAAUUGGCUUAUUAACCUUCUUCCCAGAGCACUGCCAGCAAAUGUGUGAGCGCUUCCAUUUCAGGCAUCAGCAGCUCUGCUUUACUGGAAGGACUCUUACAGUUCAGCUUUAAAAUAGUAUUGAUAAUAUUUUAGUUGCCCUGUUGAAUUUACCAUUAUAACAUUCACUAUAAUUUGUAAUACUUACUAUGUGGGCUAUGCAUUUAUAUACAGUUACACACAAUGGCACAUAGGGGCUCACACUCAAUAUAUGUGUCUGUC
Molecule: long non-coding RNA, 932 nt
Organism: Prionailurus viverrinus (fishing cat)
Lineage: Eukaryota; Metazoa; Chordata; Mammalia; Carnivora; Felidae
Exons: 3
Source: RefSeq, a predicted model, not a curated record